Molecule: long non-coding RNA, 3017 nt
Organism: Equus caballus (horse)
Lineage: Eukaryota; Metazoa; Chordata; Mammalia; Perissodactyla; Equidae
Source: Ensembl
CAGCUCUAGAUCAAGCUGAUGUUGAAAGGUUGACAUUAAAUGACCAAAAAAACACAUAAUGGCAAGUUGAGAGAGAGACAGCAGAAGAAAGGAAGUUUAUGAUUAUGAACGGAGCUGCUAUAACGAUCCUUGCAAGUCUUCUUGAAGAUUGGCCCUGAGCUAACAUCCAUGCCCAUCUUCCUCUACUUUACGUGUGGGAUGCCUGCCACAGCAUGGCUUGAUAAGCUGUGCGUAGAUCUGCACCCAGGAUCCGAACCAGCAAACCCCAGGCAGCUGAAGCAGAGUGUGUGAACUUAACUGCUUUGUCACCUGGCCGGCCCCUCAAUGACAGGUUGAUGCCAAGACCAGAACGUUUCCAGAACAAUUCCCUUCAUCAUAUCCUCUCCGUGGAAGCAGAUAUAUCUCCAGGGGAGGAAAAAGUUUUCCUUGACUCUAUUAGAGUCCCUGGCUGGUUCUGAAAAUUAACUGACAAAGACAGAUCAACAGGAGAAAAACAUACUCUAAGUUUUUCGUGACACAGGAGCCCUCAUAAAGAAAUGAAGACCCAAAGCAUCAGUUAGACCUGAGAAUUUUACAUGAGGUUUGGUGAAGAAUGCACAAGCAUGGAGGAAUCUGAUAGGUUAAGGAGUAUAGGUAAUUGCAGGAAAUUGGUGGAAAGUCAGCAAGAUCUGUUAGGAUUCUUGUCAGUGUACCCUUGUCUUCAGAGAUAAGGAUGUUCAUUUCCUCCAGUUUUAAGGAGGGUACCUCUCGCUUGGGAGUUUUAUGACCUGUUUCAGUGAAGAAGGGGGCCAGUCAGAGUGAUCUUCCUGCUUCUGCCAUUUUCUGAAACUCCUUCAGCUUAAGAUAUUCAGUACGCCAAGGUGCCACAUUUUGGAGUAGUGUGUCCAGAACCCCAUAACAUUAAAGAGAAGAUUCUGUUAUAAUGAAAAAUCUACUUAUCAUAUUACCAAAUGUGAUGGAGGAUUAAAGCAUGGGAGACCAGUGGGUGACCAAAGAAUUGAGAAGGAGGGCGCUUCUCAGGACCAAGAGCUGCGAAACGAUGGUUCCUUCUUACAGAACCACGGUGUGGUUUUAUGUUGCAGUGAACUCCUGUCUUCCAUUUGACAUACCACUCACCUCAGGUGCCCUGAACAGUCGCUUGUGCCACGGCUGCAGCAACCACUUCACAAAGGUGAAGUCGCACCAUGUCUCUGCUAAGCAGACUUCUCGCUUCUUGUCUCCAGGCCUCUUCUGCACCGCAGUGGGGGGCAACCAGCCUUUGUGCAAGCCCAGCCCAGACCCCCAUAAUGGACCAAUGAAUAUGGAUAUGGACCAAUGAUGUCUGCUGGUGUUAAAUAUCUGUGUAUUUAUUCCUGACCCAUGGGGUCAGGAGACAAUGGGAAAUGUGCCCCUGCCCCGCCCCAUUCUUUUCCCCUUGCAGACAGUUCUGAGACACAUUUCAUAAGAUUCCUCAGAAGGUCCAACAGUCAGUGUUCAGUUUGAUAGAACAUUGUUGAACUGGCUUUUCUUCCUUCUCCUUUGCUCCCGUUGUCCUGCAUGCCUCCUCCCUCAGAUCAGAUGACCAUGCACAUUAAUGACAUGCAAGCCUUUGUCUCAGUAGAACCAAGAGUAGGACACUAACUAGCUCAAGGACACUGGCUUCUGUGCAAAUCUAGGAUCAAUGAAGGCUCAGGGCAGAAACCCUGCCCCAGUCACUGCUAGGCACUGCCUUAGUAAGUGUUGUUACAGCUUUCAAUUUUUCUGUACUAUGAGAAGCACAUUAAGGAAUUGGCUCCUCUUUGGCACUCUGUAUUUUCUCAUACAAUAGUGGGUCUUUUCCUGUAUUCUGAUUAACAUGUAUCAUUGUUUCUGUCUUUUUUUCUGAGUGAACACCUUUUGUUUCUUUACGAAAAGGCUUCCAUGUUACAACUUUUGAAAAAACACAUGUUAGUCUACAUUGUAGGAUUUUGAUUUUGAUUUUUAAAGUUACCUAUAUAGUAGUGUAUUACACAUGCGCUUUUCUAAAGGCUUCCUAUCUAGGGAUUUUUACACAAAUUUUAUAACAGUCUAUCCAUAGAGACUAACAUAUUAUAGUGUACAGAAAACAAGACUGAGAAUGUGCACCAUCCACAUAUUUUAGAGCAUGACAGGCUCAUUUGUAAUUUAAAAUUUUCCGGUAUCACAUUAAAGGAAGUAAAAUGAAACAGUCAUAAUUAAUUUUAUAAUGUUUUAUUCAAUCCAAUAUAUCAAAAAUAUUAUCACUUCAACAAAUAAUCAAUGUAGAGAAUUAUUAAUGAGAUAUUUUACCUUUUUUUCCAUGCUAAGUCUGUGAAAUCAGGUGUGUGGACCUUACACCUACCACAUGUCUCCAUCUGUCCAGCUCCUCUCAAGCCCUCAGUAGCCACAUGUGCGCAGUGACUACCACAGGGGACAGUGCAGGCAGCCCUAGAGCUUACUAUUUUUGUUUGUAAUUUAAUAUUUCUUUCAGCCAUGGUUUAUUUUACCUGUUAUAUAGGGGGGCUUUUUUUCUAGAUCUCUGAAUAUGUUUAAUCAUUUGGAGAAACAUUUUUCAGGUCAAUUUUUUAGGCCUUGAUUUUUUCUACUUCAUUUAUUUAAAAAUGCCUAGCAAAGACCUGUGGUUCACUUUUUGCCAAAUGUAUUAUUUGACCAUUGUACAACUUCAGGGCCAAGUCUCGAAACAAAUAUAUCAGACAACGCAUAUUCAGGAUUUAAUCUCAGGAUAGUCUGGUUUAAAACAUAUUCCAGAAAUACUCUGUGUUCACAAGCGGAAAUCAUCUACAUUAUUUAACGGUCCGAGCAAUAGCUUACUAAGACAGCCUGCUGUCUUGGAAGAGGUACCAAUGCGGCUAAUAAAAUAUUUACUCUACAGAAUGGCUCAAUUGGAAGAACUACUUUAUCAAUGUUUUUAAUCUUUUCUGCAUCACAGCUUACUUAUCUGUAGAAUAGGGAUAAUUUAGUACCCACCUCAUAGGAAUUUUGUAAUGAUCAACUAGUUAAUACCUAAAACCCCUUAGAAC